AAUUCCCCUAUUUAGUCAAGGUAUUCAAGUAAUGACCAAUAUCCAAUAAUUCUCCUUCAUAAGAUUCUUCAAGAAAUAGCUUGUCUUCUCUGUUGAGAUUUGAUAUUGAAUAGAAUUUCAAUCCGACGUCAUCAAUGUCCUCAACCAUUUCGUCCUCCCUCUCAUAUCUUGCUCGAGAUAGCAUGUCUGCUACUAAAUUGUCCUUCCCAGUGAUAUGCUUAAAUUCUGGAUUUAGUGACUUAAUAUAAGCAAUCCAUCU
RNAcentral lists this long non-coding RNA (259 nucleotides) under Physcomitrium patens. RNAcentral's name for it is "long non-coding RNA (PPAT_LNC013817)". Lineage: Eukaryota; Viridiplantae; Streptophyta; Bryopsida; Funariales; Funariaceae. The record is from RNAcentral.